This is a long non-coding RNA of Larimichthys crocea (large yellow croaker), 362 nucleotides long. RefSeq lists it as uncharacterized. The record is from RefSeq and is a predicted model, not a curated record. NCBI's taxonomy places the organism in Eukaryota, Metazoa, Chordata, Actinopteri, Sciaenidae. The transcript is spliced from 3 exons.
CUCCUUAUGCAACAACGAUAAACACAGCAAAGUCUGGGGGCAGGAGCAUUACACCAAAGAAAGCACUAACUACACCGCAUUAGAAAAAUUACUCUUACUUACUGGUGAUUCAGAGUAAUGAAGAUAAAAUGCAUGUAAUAACUCAAAGCUCGGUCCUGUUUUUGUGGAUGAUCACAAUGACUUCCGUGAAAAGUCAAGAAAUAACAUGUGAAAUACCCGUGAUUGAAAAUGGUUUUGUGCACGACAAAAAACUGAAGUACAACGAAAAGGACGUCCUGCAUUUUACGUCAAUAAAAUGUAAACUCUCGGUGCCCCUUGAAGGAACCUCGUAUGAUCCUGCUUACAGAAAUGUGUUUUCACCU